Molecule: unclassified non-coding RNA, 327 nt
Filed under: Coprinopsis sp.
Lineage: Eukaryota; Fungi; Basidiomycota; Agaricomycetes; Agaricales; Psathyrellaceae
Description: partial internal transcribed spacer region
Rfam family: Eukaryotic small subunit ribosomal RNA (bases 1-46)
Source: RNAcentral
AAGUCGUAACAAGGUUUCCGUAGGUGAACCUGCGGAAGGAUCAUUAUUGAAUAAAUCUGGCGUUAGGUUGUAGCUGGCUCUCAGGAGCAUGUGCACACCUCGUCACCUUUAUCUUUCCACCCUGUGCACACACUGUAGUCCUGGAUACCUCUCGCCGAAAGGCGGAUGCGGAGCCUGCUGUGACUUUGGAAACAAAGGCCGGCUUGCUCUGAAUUUCCAGGUCUACGAUUUUUAUACACCCCUAAACGAAUGUUAUAGAAUGUAUAUCAUUGGGCCUUUGUGCCUAUAAACCUUAUACAACUUUCAACAACGGAUCUCUUGGCUCUC